UGGGGAAUAUUGGACAAUGGGCGCGAGCCUGAUCCAGCCAUGCCGCGUGUGUGAAGAAGGCCUUAUGGUUGUAAAGCACUUUAAGCGAGGAGGAGGCUACUUUAGUUAAUACCUAGAGAUAGUGGACGUUACUCGCAGAAUAAGCACCGGCUAACUCUAUGCCAGCAGCCGCGGUAAUACAGAGGGUGCAAGUGUUAAUCGGAUUUACUGGGCGUAAAGCGCGCGUAGGCGGCUAAUUAAGUCAAAUGUGAAAUCCCCGAGCUUAACUUGGGAAUUGCAUUCGAUACUGGUUAGCUAGAGUGUGGGAGAGGAUGGUAGAAUUCCAGGUGUAGCGGUGAAAUGCGUAGAGAUCUGGAGGAAUACCGAUGGCGAAGGCAGCCAUCUGGCCUAACACUGACGCUGAGGUGCGAAAGCAUGGGGAGCAAACAGGAUUAGAUACCCUGGUAGUCCAUGCCGUAAACGAUGUCUACUAGCCGUUGGGGCCUUUGAGGCUUUAGUGGCGCAGCUAACGCGAUAAGUAGACCGCCUGGGGAGUACGGUCGCAAGACU
This 549-nucleotide ribosomal RNA is filed under the name uncultured bacterium. RNAcentral's name for it is "partial 16S ribosomal RNA". It matches the Rfam family "Bacterial small subunit ribosomal RNA", at positions 355 to 895 of the family's 1533-position model. The record is from RNAcentral.